Molecule: ribosomal RNA, 2720 nt
Filed under: Staphylococcus aureus
Lineage: Bacteria; Bacillati; Bacillota; Bacilli; Caryophanales; Staphylococcaceae
Description: 23S from Staphylococcus aureus (PDB 7ASO, chain Y)
Rfam family: Bacterial large subunit ribosomal RNA
Source: RNAcentral
UUAAGUUAUUAAGGGCGCACGGUGGAUGCCUUGGCACUAGAAGCCAAUGAAGGACGUUACUAACGACGAUAUGCUUUGGGGAGCUGUAAGUAAGCUUUGAUCCAGAGAUUUCCGAAUGGGGAAACCCAGCAUGAGUUAUGUCAUGUUAUCGAUAUGUGAAUACAUAGCAUAUCAGAAGGCACACCCGGAGAACUGAAACAUCUUAGUACCCGGAGGAAGAGAAAGAAAAUUCGAUUCCCUUAGUAGCGGCGAGCGAAACGGGAAGAGCCCAAACCAACAAGCUUGCUUGUUGGGGUUGUAGGACACUCUAGAGUUACAAAGGACGACAUUAGACGAAUCAUCUGGAAAGAUGAAUCAAAGAAGGUAAUAAUCCUGUAGUCGAAAAUGUUGUCUCUCUUGAGUGGAUCCUGAGUACGACGGAGCACGUGAAAUUCCGUCGGAAUCUGGGAGGACCAUCUCCUAAGGCUAAAUACUCUCUAGUGACCGAUAGUGAACCAGUACCGUGAGGGAAAGGUGAAAAGCACCCCGGAAGGGGAGUGAAAUAGAACCUGAAACCGUGUGCUUACAAGUAGUCAGAGCCCGUUAAUGGGUGAUGGCGUGCCUUUUGUAGAAUGAACCGGCGAGUUACGAUUUGAUGCAAGGUUAAGCAGUAAAUGUGGAGCCGUAGCGAAAGCGAGUCUGAAUAGGGCGUUUAGUAUUUGGUCGUAGACCCGAAACCAGGUGAUCUACCCUUGGUCAGGUUGAAGUUCAGUGAAUGGAGGACCGAACCGACUUACGUUGAAAAGUGAGCGGAUGAACUGAGGGUAGCGGAGAAAUUCCAAUCGAACCUGGAGAUAGCUGGUUCUCUCCGAAAUAGCUUUAGGGCUAGCCUCAAGUGAUGAUUAUUGGAGGUAGAGCACUGUUUGGACGAGGCCGAAUUCAGACAAACUCCGAAUGCCAAUUAAUUUAACUUGGGAGUCAGAACAUGGGUGAUAAGGUCCGUGUUCGAAAGGGAAACAGCCCAGACCACCAGCUAAGGUCCCAAAAUAUAUGUUAAGUGGAAAAGGAUGUGGCGUUGCCACAACUAGAGUCGAGUGACACUGCGCCGAAAAUGUACCGGGGCUAAACAUAUUACCGAAGCUGUGGAUUGUCCUUGGACAAUGGUAGGAGAGCGUUCUAAGGGCGUUGAAGCAUGAUCGUAAGGACAUGUGGAGCGCUUAGAAGUGAGAAUGCCGGUGUGAGUAGCGAAAGACGGGUGAGAAUCCCGUCCACCGAUUGACUAAGGUUUCCAGAGGAAGGCUCGUCCGCUCUGGGUUAGUCGGGUCCUAAGCUGAGGCCGACAGGCGUAGGCGAUGGAUAACAGGUUGAUAUUCCUGUACCACCUAUAAUCGAUGGGGGGACGCAGUAGGAUAGGGAAGCGUUGGAUUGCACGUCUAAGCAGUAAGGCUGAGUAAUCCGGUACUCGGGCUGAGCUGUGAUGGGGAGAAGACCGAGUCGUUGAUUUCACACUGCCGAGAAAAGCCUCUAGAUAGAAAAUAGGUGCCCGUACCGCAAACCGACACAGGUAGUCAAGAUGAGAAUUCUAAGGUGAGCGAGCGAACUCUCGUUAAGGAACUCGGCAAAAUGACCCCGUAACUUCGGGAGAAGGGGUGCUCUUUAGGGUUAACGCCCAGAAGAGCCGCAGUGAAUAGGCCCAAGCGACUGUUUAUCAAAAACACAGGUCUCUGCUAAACCGUAAGGUGAUGUAUAGGGGCUGACGCCUGCCCGGUGCUGGAAGGUUAAGAGGAGUGGUUAGCUUCUGCGAAGCUACGAAUCGAAGCCCCAGUAAACGGCGGCCGUAACGGUCCUAAGGUAGCGAAAUUCCUUGUCGGGUAAGUUCCGACCCGCACGAAAGGCGUAACGAUUUGGGCACUGUCUCAACGAGAGACUCGGUGAAAUCAUAGUACCUGUGAAGAUGCAGGUUACCCGCGACAGGACGGAAAGACCCCGUGGAGCUUUACUGUAGCCUGAUAUUGAAAUUCGGCACAGCUAGCUGUGUUGGCUUUCUAACCCGCACCACUUACGUGGUGGGAGACAGUGUCAAGCGGGCAGUUUGACUGGGGCGGUCGCCUCCUAAAAGGUAACGGAGGCGCUCAAAGGUUCCCUCAGAAUGGUUGGAAAUCAUUCAUAGAGUGUAAAGGCAUAAGGGAGCUUGACUGCGAGACCUACAAGUCGAGCAGGGUCGAAAGACGGACUUAGUGAUCCGGUGGUUCCGCAUGGAAGGGCCAUCGCUCAACGGAUAAAAGCUACCCCGGGGAUAACAGGCUUAUCUCCCCCAAGAGUUCACAUCGACGGGGAGGUUUGGCACCUCGAUGUCGGCUCAUCGCAUCCUGGGGCUGUAGUCGGUCCCAAGGGUUGGGCUGUUCGCCCAUUAAAGCGGUACGCGAGCUGGGUUCAGAACGUCGUGAGACAGUUCGGUCCCUAUCCGUCGUGGGCGUAGGAAAUUUGAGAGGAGCUGUCCUUAGUACGAGAGGACCGGGAUGGACAUACCUCUGGUGUACCAGUUGUCGUGCCAACGGCAUAGCUGGGUAGCUAUGUGUGGACGGGAUAAGUGCUGAAAGCAUCUAAGCAUGAAGCCCCCCUCAAGAUGAGAUUUCCCAACUCGGUUAUAAGAUCCCUCAAAGAUGAUGAGGUUAAUAGGUUCGAGGUGGAAGCAUGGUGACAUGUGGAGCUGACGAAUACUAAUCGAUCGAAGACUUAAU